Molecule: unclassified non-coding RNA, 422 nt
Filed under: soil metagenome
Description: partial contains 5.8S ribosomal RNA, internal transcribed spacer 2, and large subunit ribosomal RNA
Rfam family: 5.8S ribosomal RNA (bases 1-120)
Source: RNAcentral
GAUGAAGAACGUAGCGAAAUGCGAUAAGUAGUGUGAAUUGCAGAAUUCAGUGAAUCAUCGAAUCUUUGAACGCACCUUGCGCUCCCUGGUAUUCCGGGGAGCACGCCUGUUCGAGUGUCGCGAAAUUCUUCAAGCCUUGGAUGGAUUUUUUUUGUCUGUCCUUGGGCUUGGUUGUUGGGCUCUGCCGUGUCCUUCAUUGGGACGGCUGGCCUUAAAAGCAUUAGCCGAUCCUCGUGUGGUACUGGUUCUACUCAGCGUGAUAACAAUCUGAUCGUUGAGGACAUCUUCUGGAUGGCCAGUCAUCAUUUGGGUUGCUUCUAAACCGGUUUCGCAGAUUGCUCAAUCUGUGUGCCACUUUUCAGCUUUGACCUCGAAUCAGGUGGGACUACCCGCUGAACUUAAGCAUAUCAAUAAGCGGAGGA